CCUACGGGCGGCAGCAGUGGGGACUAUUGCGCAAUGGGCGAAAGCCUGCCGCAGCGACGCCGCGUGAGGGAUCAAGGUCUUCGGAUCGUACACCUCUGUCAGCAGGGAAGAACGGUCACUGUGCUAAUCAGCAGUGAAUUGACGGUACCUGCAAAGGAAGCACCGGCUAACUCAGUGCCAGCAGCCGCGGUAAUACGGCGGGUGCGAGCGUUAAUCGGAAUUACUGGGCGUAAAGCGCUCGUCGGCGGUAUGUCAAGUCAAGGGUGAAAUCCCCGCGCUCAACGUGGGAACUGCCUUUGAAACUGGCAAACUGGAGUGUGAGAGAGGAUAGUGGAAUUCCAGGUGUAGGAGUGAAAUCCGUAGAUAUCUGGAGGAACAUCAGUGGCGAAGGCGACUAUCUGGCACAUAACUGACGCUGAGGAGCGAAAGCGUGGGUAGCAAACAGGAGUAGAUACCCCUGUAGUC
Molecule: ribosomal RNA, 465 nt
Filed under: uncultured bacterium
Lineage: Bacteria
Description: partial 16S ribosomal RNA
Rfam family: Bacterial small subunit ribosomal RNA
Source: RNAcentral